GAUGAACGCUGGCGGCGUGCCUAAUACAUGCAAGUCGAGCGAACAGACGAGGAGCUUGCUCCUCUGACGUUAGCGGCGGACGGGUGAGUAACACGUGGAUAACCUACCUAUAAGACUGGGAUAACUUCGGGAAACCGGAGCUACUACCGGAUAAUAUAUUGAACCGCAUGGUUCAAUAGUGAAAGACGGUUUUGCUGUUACUUAUAGAUGGAUCCGCGCCGCAUUAGCUAGUUGGUAAGGUAAAGGCUUACCAAGGCAACGAUGCGUAGCCGACCUGAGAGGGUGAUCGGCCACACUGGAACUGAGACACGGUCCAGACUCCUACGGGAGGCAGCAGUAGGGAAUCUUCCGCAAUGGGCGAAAGCUUGACGGAGCAACGCCGCGUGAGUGAUGAAGGUCUUCGGAUCGUAAAACUCUGUUAUUAGGGAAGAACAAAUGUGUAAGUAACUAUGCACGUCUUGACGGUACCUAAUCAGAAAGCCACGGCUAACUACGUG
Molecule: ribosomal RNA, 497 nt
Filed under: uncultured bacterium
Lineage: Bacteria
Description: partial 16S ribosomal RNA
Rfam family: Bacterial small subunit ribosomal RNA
Source: RNAcentral